UACGGGGGGAGCAAGCGUUGUUCGGAUUUACUGGGCGUAAAGGGCGCGUAGGCGGUCAGCACAAGUCAGUUGUGAAAUCUCCGGGCUUAACUCGGAAAGGUCAACUGAUACUGUGCGACUAAAGUGCGGAAGGGGCAACUGGAAUUCUUGGUGUAGCGGUGAAAUGCGUAGAUAUCAAGAGGAACACCUGCGGCGAAGGCGAGUUGCUGGGCCGACACUGACGCUGAGGCGCGAAAGCCAGGGGAGCGAACGGG
Molecule: ribosomal RNA, 254 nt
Filed under: uncultured bacterium
Lineage: Bacteria
Description: partial 16S ribosomal RNA
Rfam family: Bacterial small subunit ribosomal RNA
Source: RNAcentral